Molecule: ribosomal RNA, 253 nt
Filed under: uncultured bacterium
Lineage: Bacteria
Description: partial 16S ribosomal RNA
Rfam family: Bacterial small subunit ribosomal RNA
Source: RNAcentral
GACGUAGGGUGCAAGCGUUGUCCGGAAUUAUUGGGCGUAAAGAGCUCGUAGGCGGUCUGUCGCGUCGGCUGUGAAAACCCGGGGCUCAACCCCGGGCCUGCAGUCGAUACGGGCAGACUAGAGUGCGGUAGGGGAGACUGGAAUUCCUGGUGUAGCGGUGAAAUGCGCAGAUAUCAGGAGGAACACCGGUGGCGAAGGCGGGUCUCUGGGCCGUAACUGACGCUGAGGAGCGAAAGCGUGGGGAGCGAACAGG